GCGGGACUUCCGGCAUCUUAGGCGCAACCAGACAUUUUGUCGGUUCUUGUGAGGAUCUAAGCGCUAGGGGGCUCUUGAAUGCUUGGUCUGGACCGAGGGUGGAGGAAUCGGGAAGACGCGUGAGUAGGCGUUGUCCCCGCCGCUCGGAGGCGAGACAAAGUUCGGCGGUGGCGACGCCUGCCUUGACCCUGCCGCCGGGGCAGGGCUUGGGACCGCGGUAUCCAGGUCCUCAAUCCGGAUGCCUGCCUCUCCCUGCGCACUCCGCCCACAGACCCCGAUGGCGGCGGCCGCGCUGAGGGAACCCCCUCAGGGUUUAGUGCUCACUUUGGACCCCAGUAUCAAGUGGUGGAAUCCUGUUGGAGACUGGAUCUGAAAUGAGGGGACUGAAGCUUGGAGGAGUGAGGCUUUCUGCAUAAGGUACUAUAAUCAGUAAUGGGGUUACCAGCUGCAAACCCAGGCUCUGGACGCGCAGGCUCAGCGGCCGUGGCUCACAGGCCCAGCUGCUCCGCGGCAUGUGGGAUCUUCCCGGACCGGGGCACGAACCCGUGUCCCCUGCAUCGGCAGGCGGACUCUCAACCACUGCGCCACCAGGGAAGCCCUGUGUAUGUGAAUUUUGACAGACGCUGCAAGUAGGCAGCCUUGACUCACCUCCUACCACAUGGGUACCUGAGAGCCCAGGUUUGUGAUGAUAAGGACCAUGUAUUCAGCACUAAUCAUGCACCUUGCACUGGUUUAAUCACUUGAUACUUAACCUCACCAAGGUAUGGGCACUAUUUUUUUCUGCUGUUUUAGUGAAUGGACGUUUAUGUUUGAGGAAUAUUUAAACAAUUUCACAGAGGUCUGCUAGGGAGGUUUUAUCUUCAUUUUACAUUUCACAACAUGGAGGUGAAACUGCUGGCCUUGGGUCCCAAAUUCGGAAGGAUGAGGCUGGGAUUUGCAGGCUGUGAACCUCCAAAACAGCUAGCGUUGUAUCACGCUCAGGAUAUGAAGCGCGCACUGGAGAUUUUAUAUGAAGCCGACCCCCACCGGAGGAAAACUGCUGACCGCAAGCACGUAGACCCCAGACGGGUUGAAACCAGAAGAUUGCUGAUGCUUGAAACUUCACCUUGAUGCCAACCAAUCUGAGAAUUGAACACAAGUGGAUCAUGCACCUUGCAGCCCCUCCCUCACAUGGCCUUUAAAACCUUUGUCUCCUAAGCAGCAACUUGGAGAUGGUCUUAGGACAUUAGUUCACCAGCUUCCCAGAUUGCUGGCCUCCUGAAUAAAGCAACUUUUCCUUUUCCACCAACACUUGUUUGUUGAGUAUUGGCUUUUCGAGUGGCGAGCAGCUGAACUCGGGUUUGGUACCAACCUCAUCCAGUUAAAGAGACUCUGAGGUAUGAAAUGCAGCCUGAGGCUUGGGAGCAACUGGCAGGCUAAGACAGUAGGCACUCAAUUCCUUUGCCUUCCACCUUCUGACCACAGGCUGCCCCUCAACACCUGGUGUCGAGGUGGAGACUGCAGUACCCAGAAUUCUCAGUGCCACAGGGUGUCAGCUCUCUGCCAAUCAUGGCCCAGGAGAGGGGCCUUUUUCUGUGAGCACUUCACUUUGGGGCAGGUCUUCCGGUACCCCAUCUCAUUUCUGGGGUUGUAGAAUCCUGGAGACGGGAAUAGCACCUCCAUCCCCUGGUGUGAUAUGGGCUGUUCCCAUCCCUUUUGCCCACAGGCUCCAAUGACAGUGGGCAAGCUGAUAGCUGAGCCCUCACCUUCCCAAUAUGUGGGAUUACGUGUCUUUGCUCUCCCCUGUCCCAGCAGUUGUGUCUGCAGGCUCUGAGGAGGCAGUCUCCGUCUAAGCCAUCGUUACAUGGAGAAGUUUCUGUAGAACCCAGAAAGAUGAGGUAUGGAAGGCGUCCCAGGCAUGUUCAGAUGCUUGGAGUUGAAGCUGAGCUGAUGAUGGGAGCCAUGGGGAAAGUGGAGCAGAGUCUCAGCAGUCUUCCUCUGGCAGCAGAGAGAACAGACAGUGAAGGGCUAGAGUGAUGGUGGAGACGGAGUGAUGGAGGAUUCUUAACCACUGUGCCACCAUGGAAGUCCCAGGAAGGCAGUUUUUAUGAGAUUUCUGACCAUUUCGGUUCAGUUGCUGCAGAGGUUAUAGGGCUGUGCCAUCUCUGAGGACGUGUUUGUGUACUUCUCCCGGGAAGAAUGGGUGCUCCUUGAUGAGGAUCAGAGACUCCUGUACCGGGAUGUGAUGUUGGAGAACUUUGCACUUUUAGCCUUCCUGGGU
Molecule: RNA transcript, 2260 nt
Organism: Orcinus orca (killer whale)
Lineage: Eukaryota; Metazoa; Chordata; Mammalia; Artiodactyla; Delphinidae
Gene: ZNF671
Gene name: zinc finger protein 671
Exons: 7
Source: RefSeq, a predicted model, not a curated record